Molecule: ribosomal RNA, 1489 nt
Filed under: metagenome
Description: bacterial SSU rRNA
Rfam family: Bacterial small subunit ribosomal RNA
Source: RNAcentral
AGAGUUUGAUCCUGGCUCAGAAUGAACGCUGGCGGCAUGGAUUAGGCAUGCAAGUCGAACGGUGAAGUCCCGCUUGCGGGACUGAUCAGUGGCGCAAGGGUGAGUAACACGUGAGUAACCUGCCCCUGAAUUCGGGAUAGCCCUGGGAAACUGGGAUUAAUACCGGAUGCGGUUUUACUCCGCCUGGAGUAUUGACCAAAGAUUUUAUUGUUCAGGGAUGGGCUCGCGUCCUAUUAGCUUGUUGGUGAGGUAACGGCUCACCAAGGCGAUGACAGGUAGCUGGUCUGAGAGGAUGGUCAGCCACACUGGGACUGAGACACUGCCCAGACUCCUACGGGAGGCUGCAGUCGAGAAUCAUCCGCAAUGGGCGCAAGCCUGACGGUGCGAUGCCGCGUGAGGGAUGACGGCCUUCGGGUUGUAAACCUCUGUCACCCGGGACGAAGAAGUGACGGUACCGGGAGAGGAAGCCACGGCUAACUACGUGCCAGCAGCCGCGGUAAUACGUAGGUGGCGAGCGUUAUUCGGAUUUACUGGGCGUAAAGGGUCCGCAGGGUGUUUGCCAAGUCUGAUGUGAAAGCCCGCGGCUCAACUGCGGAAUGGCAUUGGAUACUGGCGAGCUAGAGUGCACGAUGGGAGAGCGGAAUUCCUGGUGUAGCGGUGGAAUGCGUAGAUAUCAGGAAGAACACCGAUGGCGAAGGCGGCUCUCUGGCGUGCUACUGACCCUCAGGGACGAAAGCGUGGGUAGCAAACAGGAUUAGAUACCCUGGUAGUCCACGCUGUAAACGUUGUGCACUAGAUGUAGGCGGCUCUGAUCCCGUCUGUGUCCAAGCUAACGCGUUAAGUGCACCGCCUGGGGACUACGGCCGCAAGGCUAAAACUCAAAGGAAUUGACGGGGGCCCGCACAAGCGGUGGAGCAUGUGGCUCAAUUCGAGGCAACGCGAAGAACCUUACCUGGGCUUGACAUAUGUCGGACCGCCCUGGAAACAGGGUUUUCCCUUUGGGACCGUCAUACAGGUGCUGCAUGGCUGUCGUCAGCUCGUGUCGUGAGAUGUUCGGUUAAGUCCGGCAACGAGCGCAACCCGUGUUGCCAGUUACCAUCAGGUGAAGCUGGGUACUCUGGCGAGACUGCCCGUGUCAAGCGGGAGGAAGGCGCGGAUGACGUCAAGUCCGUAUGGCCCUUACGCCCAGGGCUGCACACGUGCUACAAUGGGCGGUACAAUGAGAAGCGAAACCGCGAGGUGGAGCAAAUCUGCGAAAACCGUCCCCAGUUCGGAUUGGAGUCUGCAACUCGACUCCAUGAAGCCGGAAUCGCUAGUAAAGGGGUAUCAGCAACGGCCCCUUGAAUACGUUCCCGGGCCUUGUACACACCGCCCGUCACAUCAUGGAAGCUGGCUGCACCCGAAGUCGCCGGCCCAACUCCAAAGCUUAGCGCGGAGAGGGAGGUGCCGAAGGUGUGUCCAGUGACUGGGAUGAAGUCGGAACAAGGUA